UCGCGGCCUAUCAGCUUGUUGGUGGGGUGAUGGCCUACCAAGGCGACGACGGGUAGCCGGCCUGAGAGGGCGACCGGCCACACUGGGACUGAGACACGGCCCAGACUCCUACGGGAGGCAGCAGUGGGGAAUAUUGCGCAAUGGGCGAAAGCCUGACGCAGCGACGCCGCGUGGGGGAUGACGGCCUUCGGGUUGUAAACCUCUUUCGCCAGGGACGAAGCGCAAGUGACGGUACCUGGAUAAGAAGCACCGGCCAACUACGUGCCAGCAGCCGCGGUAAUACGUAGGGUGCGAGCGUUGUCCGGAAUUAUUGGGCGUAAAGAGCUCGUAGGCGGUUUGUCGCGUCUGCUGUAAAAUCCCGAGGCUCAACCUCGGGCCUGCAGUGGGUACGGGCAAACUAGAGUGUGGUAGGGGAGAUUGGAACUCCUGGUGUAGCGGUGGAAUGCGCAGAUAUCAGGAAGAACACCGAUGGCGAAGGCAGAUCUCUGGGCCAUUACUGACGCUGAGGAGCGAAAGCGUGGGGAGCGAACAGGAUUAGAUACCCUGGUAGUCCACGCCGUAAACGUUGGGAACUAGAUGUAGGGUCCAUUCCACGGAUUCUGUGUCGCAGCUAACGCAUUAAGUUCCCCGCCUGGGGAGUACGG
RNAcentral lists this ribosomal RNA (644 nucleotides) under uncultured bacterium. Its description in RNAcentral is "bacterial SSU rRNA". It matches the Rfam family "Bacterial small subunit ribosomal RNA", at positions 231 to 885 of the family's 1533-position model. The record is from RNAcentral.